This is a long non-coding RNA of Bombina bombina (fire-bellied toad), 367 nucleotides long. RefSeq lists it as uncharacterized. The transcript has 4 exons. The record is from RefSeq and is a predicted model, not a curated record. Lineage: Eukaryota; Metazoa; Chordata; Amphibia; Anura; Bombinatoridae.
CUACACUUCACCAAGAACACACUAUAAGUUGAAAGAAUAUAUAGACCAAAUAAGGCUGCAUUUGGAAACCUCAAAUAUAUACAUAAGUGAACCACCUCAUGAACCAAGUUUCAUCACAGAAGCCAUAACCAAUCAUGGAAGUUUUGAAGAGUAGGAGGAGCAAUAUCUGCAUCAAAGUCAAAGGUGUCUGCCCAUAAGACUUACCGAACAGGUAUUACUGGAAUUCCCAAUUCUGAUCUCUGGUUGCUGAUGGGGGCUCUUCUACUGUUCUGCAUCCUGAACUUCCAUACUAGGUAAUUUGUUGAUCAGAGGACAGAGCAUCUCCCAUAUCAGUCACAACUCCAGUGUAAGUGGCCAUCCUGACUGC